GUUGGUACAUUAUUAAAAGCCAUGGGCCCUGACAUCACACAUGAUGAUUAUAAUGUGAAGAGACGAGACUGAGACUAUAAAGAAAGACCAGGAGUGAGCUAACUUGAAUGAUACCAAGGAAGAUGAUAUAAUAUGAAGUAUAUCCUCAUCUGGUAAAGACAGACAGAACUCUGAAGUGGAAAGAGCACUUGUCAAGAUAUCAGGAGAUGACGGCUUUGUGAGUUCUGUCACUAACCAGUGUAUGUUCUUGACCAAAUAAUUUUACCUCUCUCAACCUUGGUUGCUCCAUCCACCAAACGAUAGCGAUCUGAAUUCGUCAGCUUCUUUUCUAUUAUGACACUUGAUUACUUCAUCACCAGAAGCUGAGCUCCCAGCUUGAGUAUGCAACAUGUCUGGACAUGUUUGGCUAAUUACUGUGGCAGCCAGCCUGCUGGCCAUUGCAGAAUGACCCAGAUGCUUCCUGAGAGAACUCAGGUUUAAGGAAGAGAAAACCAAACUCCAGGAGUCUGACAGCAACAAAGCCUUAGUUGACAGAAAGGUAGUUAUUUUGGAUGCAUAAGUGUUUAUUAUUCUUA
This 575-nucleotide long non-coding RNA is filed under the name Homo sapiens (human). Its description in RNAcentral is "non-protein coding lnc-PARM1-3:1". Lineage: Eukaryota; Metazoa; Chordata; Mammalia; Primates; Hominidae. The record is from RNAcentral.